Fundulus heteroclitus (mummichog) is the source of this 388-nucleotide long non-coding RNA. RefSeq lists it as uncharacterized. NCBI's taxonomy places the organism in Eukaryota, Metazoa, Chordata, Actinopteri, Cyprinodontiformes, Fundulidae. The record is from RefSeq and is a predicted model, not a curated record. The transcript is spliced from 3 exons.
CAAUCAAUCCUCCAAUCAAAAUCCAGGACACGGAGGAAGUAGCGCAAAAUGAUUCCCUCGUAAAAACUUGGAGUAAUAAUAAUAAUAAUAAUAAUAUCACUCUCUAAAAUCUCUAAAAGGUGUUGGAAGUUCAGUGGUUCCUCCACAUUUUGACAGUGCAAACGUUUCCUCUGAUUGGAGGUAAUAUUGUUUUGGAGGGGCACAGCCAGGGUCCUGACUUGAAUCUGAUGAUAGAGGAUGUUUGAGGGAAGAAAAGAGGUCUUCCAACCUCAAAGAAGCUGAAGCUCAUCACUGAAUAUAAACUGAAAUAUCAGUGACAUCAUGCAGAGAGCUGCUCAGUAAGUAUACAUUAUAGCUGUAAUGUCAAUUGCGAUUUCCCACUGAUUAU